RNAcentral lists this ribosomal RNA (253 nucleotides) under uncultured bacterium. RNAcentral's name for it is "partial 16S ribosomal RNA". It matches the Rfam family "Bacterial small subunit ribosomal RNA", at positions 524 to 776 of the family's 1533-position model. The record is from RNAcentral.
UACGUAGGGUGCAGGCGUUAAUCGGAACUACUGGGCGUAAAGCGUGCGCAGGCGGUUUCUUAAGUCAGAUGUGAAAGCCCCGGGCUUAACCUGGGAACUGCGUUUGAAACUGGGAGACUUGAGUGUGGCAGAGGGGGGUGGAAUUCCACGUGUAGCAGUGAAAUGCGUAGAUAUGUGGAGGAACACCAAUGGCGAAGGCAGCCCCCUGGGUCAACACUGACGCUCAUGCACGAAAGCGUGGGGAGCAAACAGG